Molecule: long non-coding RNA, 1136 nt
Organism: Felis catus (domestic cat)
Lineage: Eukaryota; Metazoa; Chordata; Mammalia; Carnivora; Felidae
Exons: 6
Source: RefSeq, a predicted model, not a curated record
UCCUCUUUCUCUCCCACACCCGGCCCGGGCCCCUCCCGUCCGUCUCCCGCAGGCCCCGCCACAGUCGACCGGCUCGGUCCGCGGGCGUGGUUGGCUCUGGCCCCGGCGGCGGCGGCAGGGCCUCCCGGAGUCCCGGCCCCUCCCGCCGGCCAGGCCCCCGGGCCGCCGCCCCGGACACCGAGGGAACGCGGAGGAGGAAGGGGGAGCCAGGGGACUGACCGGCGACAUGAGCCACCUCAGCCUAGGCUCGGCCGACCCGCGCCCCCCGCUCCCUCUGGGGCCGGCUGGGCUCCCCGCCCCUCACUCACCCCCCCCGGUCCGGCGCCUCCUCCACCUCCUCCUCCACCUCCUCCCUCUUCUCGGCCGUGGCUCCUGCUCCGGCUCUGCGCGGCGACGGCGGCAGCGGCGGCAGCGGCCUCGAGAGCGGCGGCGGCGGCGGCGGCGGCGCCUCCAGAACGCGCACGCACGCAGCACGUUGGCCCCGCCCCCAGUUCCACCCCGCCCCUCUGAGCCGCCGUCAGCUAGACUUUGGCCCCGCCUUCCCCACGGCUUUCCGGAGUCCGCUUAAAGGAGCCGCGCAGAGGAGCGUGCACAGGUUGCUCGGGCGGUAGAAGAAGGCAGGUGCGUGUCCUGAAAUGCAUGAAGUACAUCCUAGUGGAGAGUGCACACACAGAAGGAAGCAGCUACUCAGCCAUGAGGCACUGUAACUCCUAGGAAGAAUCAAGGAUUUCUGCAGCAAGGAAAUUGGAUACGGAUGAGCACCAGGGAGGACACUGCUGGCCACUGAAGGGAAAGCCCAAUGUAGGCAGGAGGCCAGAAUGCGCCAACGAAGGAAGACUGAACACCAGAAGACAGAAAGUUCAGAACACUGAACACAGAAAGACUGAAGCCUGGGCUUUCAGGGGAUACAAUGACACAUAAAGCACAGACAGUGAGACCUGAGAGGAAGAAGAUAAAAGGAAGGCUGUGGAACCAGUGUGUUAAGAAAUCUCAUAGCUGACAAUUUGCUAGCAAAGAACAGGAUGCCUACAAAAUUCGUUAAGUGUCAGAUUUCACAGCUUCCUCUGCUCUGCCUAAAAAGGAAAACUCACAUCUUCAAGCUGUUACAAUAAAACUAUUGGCAGUAUGUAAAGUGA